UCUUGCAUUUUCCAAAGAUAUCAAUAUCUAUGUCGCUUCCCAAAUUUGAAUCAAAUUUUCAAAAUAAAAAAAGUGAACAUACAGGUGCGAGUGGAGGGGAAUUGUUUUGUGCCUCGUUUUUGUACCCAGCGAGCAUCAUCAACACCCAUCUCGAAUUAAUUUUCAAUCGAUUAAAGUCGAUGGAUUUCAAACAACUUGUUGUCCAUUUGACCUUGAUAUGGGGGGGAAAAUAUGGUAAACUUGAAUCGCAUUACCUUGGGCUGCUCUAUUUAUCUAAUCUCCACAAUUGGAAAACCCCUUGCGUUUCUAUUGAUGCGAAGGAAUUCCAUCAAGUUGAGAUUAAAAUAGCUACCUGGAGCUUAUAGGUGGAGAAAAUCGGGGUCCGUUUGGUAUACAAGGAAGACAUCGAAGAUCCCAAUCAAACUAUUGCGCAUGAUAGCAGCAACUGCAGUGGACGAAGAUUCUCUUUUGAUGACGCAGUAUAUUACGCUUUUAGGUGAUUAUGAAAUCUAGGAUCUAGAUUUUAGCAUCUCAAACAGAAUUUUGUUCUCUUCUUUUACUUCUUUUUAAGCAGGUUGGAAUGAUACAAAGUUUUUCAUUGUUCUCUAGUUGGUGCACUUGGUAUUUAAUGGAAGAAGGGGACCAAACGACCCACCUGGGCUCUCACUAUAUUGGUCAUGAUUUCAACUCUCAAGGGCUCAAAAUGGACUUGUUCAAUGGAGGAACUGAUACAACUACCACAUCCAUCUACAAUCUUUGCUUACAGAAACAAUGCGGCUUCAUCCAACAGCAACUCUUCUGGUGUGCCUUAUGCUGAGAUGGAUGUGGAAAUUGUGGAUACACCAAUCCUAAGCACACCCAUGUGAUUGUAAAUGCAUGGGUUAUAGCCCAAGAUCUCAUGUAGCCCACACAAUUUAUACCAGAAAGGUUCAUGAGUACUGAAGUUUUGGAUUUUUGAGGAACAAAUUUCACUUUUAUUCCAUUUGGGUCUGGGCAGUGGAUUUGCCCAGGUUUAGCUCUUACUGUAAGACUCCUAAACUUGUUGCCAGCUUCUCUCAUUCACCAAUUUGAUUGGAAACUUCCGGAUUGAAUCACACCCGAAGAUAUCUACACAAAAGACAAAUUCGGACUGACAUUGCAGAAGGCUAUUCCAUUUGUUGCCAUUCCUGUGGUUGUUGCUAAAGUGGAGUAGUUUAAGGACCUUUUCCUAUGUUAUACUAAUGUUGUUACUUGUUAGUAAUGCUGCAAGUUGUUAUUUGAUAAUGUGCUAUUGCUGAACUGAGUGUAAAUUUUUGGAUAGAUUUAAUGUGACCUUGUGCUCUUCAUUUCCAAUUUUAA
Molecule: long non-coding RNA, 1338 nt
Organism: Quercus lobata
Lineage: Eukaryota; Viridiplantae; Streptophyta; Magnoliopsida; Fagales; Fagaceae
Exons: 3
Source: RefSeq, a predicted model, not a curated record